GGUUAAACCCGUAUUCUGGACAGACCUCCACUAAAAAGGUAAUUUCUCACUCAUCGUAACUCCUUUUGAAAUUCCGCUUGAUUCUGUGGUAAGAUAACGAAAUUCCGGUCGAUUCGACGCCAGUUUCAUGGAUUUCUAAGCAGUAAUGAAUUCGGGAGAAGCAUUUGAAGUUCGAGGUCUGAUGCAGAACUUUGGGCUACGGGUUUAGAGUGUUGUGGCUGCAAAUUCUGUUUUUCAACUAGCUCCGAAUAUGUUGUUAGCACGAUUCAAACGUCAUGUUCAGGUGGGUUCCUUUAGGUAAACUCUCACUUAAUAGAGUAGCCUUAUUAGUUUUCCCCAAAAUCCAACUAUGCAUGUUAACUUAAGUUUUAGGGAUUAAUUAGGGAGAACUCAUGAAAUGACUUAAUUAAUGGAUUGAAUAUGCCCUACAUGUUUGGAAUGUUGUUAAUUCGUGGAAUUUAGCAUAAAAUGAUUGAUAUGUAUACUGUUUUGGAAUGGUAAGUGCUGCUGGAUGUUGCAGGUUGCGUGUUUGAGCCGGUUCAUACAGCUAUGAAUCGAUGCAUAUGUUUUCCAGAGCUUAGAAAAUGUGUGUUCUGAGUCUAUGAAUUGGUGCAUGCUAUGCUUGAACCGGUGCAUAGGCUUCAGGAUGUGUUUUAUAAAAACAUGGAAAACGUGUGAAUCGGUGCAUACCCGGUAUGAGUGACUCAAACAUGGCCUGGACAGAGUUUGAAUCGGUGCAUAGACAGUAUGCACGGGAGCAUGGAACCCAGAAUAACUAUUUUUGUAACAAUAACUAUUUUUGUAACAAACUGAGAACAUGAACCGGUGCACAACUCUUAUGAACCGAUGCAACCUGAGACCAUUAUGCUUUUGAGUUAAGGAUGGAGGAUAUGUCAACUAAUUUAAUUUAACUAAAAACCCUCCAUCACGAAUAGUAUUUUAUAAAAACAACAAGUGUCUAAAUUCCACGAUUACAGACUUUCUACAUGUUUAAAAUCAGUACACUUAGGAAUUUAAUCAGGAUGAUCAUAAUAGUUAGAAAUAUCCCCGGGAAGGGUUGAUGGGCAGGUUAAUGCAAUUUAGAUUCUUAAGACAGUUGAUCAUAUUAUGGUGGUUGAUCCCGAACCACAGUUUAUCUAGCCUUUGGCUAUGAGUCUAGCUUUUGCUACGAGGGAUUCUUCACUUUUAGUGGGAAUCAAGUUAUUUAAGUUGUGAGCUGAGGUGGUUCUCUGAUCUACAUUUAAUAUNNNNNNNNNNNNNNNNNNNNNNNNNNNNNNAUAAAGAUAAUAAAUUAUGUGAUACACCUUUAUUUAUGUUUAAGCUAUUCAAUUAUGAAUAUGAGUUAUUUUAGUGAUCAACUGAUUUAUGUACGAGCCCCCGGUGUAGUCACCACCGUAGUUGGGGUAGCAGGAGCUCACUGAGGCUUAGUAGUCUCAAUCCACGAUUUAUUGAUUAUAGGUAACAGGUUGAGCAUGAUAAAUGGAUUUUCAAGAGGAUUGAAGUAAAGACGUUGUUUAUGGAAACUUCGUAGCAUUCACCUGUUAAAUUAUUAUAGAAGAUGACUCAAGGUUUGAUCCUGAUUGUUAUGCAUUCUAUUUCGCUCUGAUGUAUAAUAUAUUAUAGGUUGUACAUUAUGACAGUUUAUUCAGGAUUUUGUCAAGAUUGUGUAUUGUUUGGCAAAUUAUCUUGUAAUUGUACUAUGUCGGACAAAAGUUAUUUUGUAAUUUUAACGUUUCCCGAUUCAGUUAUGUAUGCUCCUAUUGAUAUUCUAGAUAAAUCAAUAUGGGGUGUUAUAACUGAUUUGUACAUUUUCAGAUUAAUACAUUGCAAAUCAAAGAAACGGUUACGGAUGGAAGAAAAAGCAAAAUACAAAAUCGAUUCAAGAAAUUAAACGAUUGAUAUUGAUUACAAUAACACAUGCAUAAUGAAAUUAUUCAAAGAGUAGAGAAAUUCACAGAUGAAAACCUCGAUAGUAAC
This 1977-nucleotide long non-coding RNA is filed under the name Trifolium pratense (red clover). RNAcentral's name for it is "long non-coding RNA (TPRA_LNC000471)". The record is from RNAcentral. Lineage: Eukaryota; Viridiplantae; Streptophyta; Magnoliopsida; Fabales; Fabaceae.